ACUCCUACGGGAGGCAGCAGUGGGGAAUCUUAGACAAUGGGGGGCAACCCUGAUCUAGCCAUGCCGCGUGAGUGACGAAGGCCUUAGGGUCGUAAAGCUCUUUCGCUGGAGAAGAUAAUGACGGUAUCCAGUAAAGAAACCCCGGCUAACUCCGUGCCAGCAGCCGCGGUAAUACGGAGGGGGUUAGCGUUGUUCGGAAUUACUGGGCGUAAAGCGCGCGUAGGCGGAUUGGAAAGUUGGGGGGUGAAAUCCCGGGGCUCAACCCCGGAACGGCCUCCAAAACUCCCAGUCUUGAGUUCGAGAGAGGUGAGUGGAAUUCCGAGUGUAGAGGUGAAAUGCGUAGAGAUCGGAAGGAACACCAGUGGCGAAGGCGGCUACCUGGACUAAUACUGACACUGAGGCACGAAAGCGUGGGUAGCAAACAGGAUUAGAUACCCUGGUAGGUC
Molecule: ribosomal RNA, 446 nt
Filed under: uncultured bacterium
Lineage: Bacteria
Description: bacterial SSU rRNA
Rfam family: Bacterial small subunit ribosomal RNA
Source: RNAcentral